RNAcentral lists this ribosomal RNA (877 nucleotides) under Klebsiella quasipneumoniae subsp. similipneumoniae. RNAcentral describes it as "partial 23S ribosomal RNA". It matches the Rfam family "Bacterial large subunit ribosomal RNA", at positions 890 to 1767 of the family's 2925-position model. Lineage: Bacteria; Pseudomonadati; Pseudomonadota; Gammaproteobacteria; Enterobacterales; Enterobacteriaceae. The record is from RNAcentral. RNAcentral also lists the same sequence under 1 other name.
UCAUCUUCGGGGGUAGAGCACUGUUUCGGCUAGGGGGUCAUCCCGACUUACCAACCCGAUGCAAACUACGAAUACCGAAGAAUGUUAUCACGGGAGACACACGGCGGGUGCUAACGUCCGUCGUGAAGAGGGAAACAACCCAGACCGCCAGCUAAGGUCCCAAAGUCAUGGUUAAGUGGGAAACGAUGUGGGAAGGCACAGACAGCCAGGAUGUUGGCUUAGAAGCAGCCAUCAUUUAAAGAAAGCGUAAUAGCUCACUGGUCGAGUCGGCCUGCGCGGAAGAUGUAACGGGGCUAAACCAUGCACCGAAGCUGCGGCAGCGACACUAUGUGUUGUUGGGUAGGGGAGCGUUCUGUAAGCCUGCGAAGGUGACCUGUGAGGGUUGCUGGAGGUAUCAGAAGUGCGAAUGCUGACAUAAGUAACGAUAAAGCGGGUGAAAAGCCCGCUCGCCGGAAGACCAAGGGUUCCUGUCCAACGUUAAUCGGGGCAGGGUGAGUCGACCCCUAAGGCGAGGCCGAAAGGCGUAGUCGAUGGGAAACAGGUUAAUAUUCCUGUACUUGGUGUUACUGCGAAGGGGGGACGGAGAAGGCUAUGUUAGCCGGGCGACGGUUGUCCCGGUUUAAGCAUGUAGGCUGAUUAUCCAGGCAAAUCCGGAUAAUCAAGGCUGAGGUGUGAUGACGAGGCACUACGGUGCUGAAGUAACAAAUGCCCUGCUUCCAGGAAAAGCCUCUAAGCAUCAGGUAACAUCAAAUCGUACCCCAAACCGACACAGGUGGUCAGGUAGAGAAUACCAAGGCGCUUGAGAGAACUCGGGUGAAGGAACUAGGCAAAAUGGUGCCGUAACUUCGGGAGAAGGCACGCUGGUGUGUAGGUGAAG